Molecule: ribosomal RNA, 1250 nt
Filed under: metagenome
Description: bacterial LSU rRNA
Rfam family: Bacterial large subunit ribosomal RNA
Source: RNAcentral
UACACGACCGUACCGCAAACCGACACUGGUGCGCGAGAUGAGUAUUCUAAGGCGCUUGAGAGAACUCAGGAGAAGGAACUCGGCAAAUUGACACCGUAACUUCGGAAGAAGGUGUGCCUUUAGUAGGUGAGCCAUUUACUUGGGGAGCCCAAUGAGGCUGCAAAAAAUCGGUGGCUGCAACUGUUUAUUAAAAACACAGCACUCUGCUAAGACGAAAGUCGACGUAUAGGGUGUGACGCCUGCCCGGUGCUGGAAGAUUAAAUGAUGGGGAGCAAGCUCUUGAUUGAAGUCCCAGUAAACGGCGGCCGUAACAAUAACGGUCCUAAGGUAGCGAAAUUCCUUGUCGGGUAAGUUCCGACCUGCACGAAUGGCGUAAUGAUGGCCACACUGUCUCCUCCUGAGACUCAGCGAAGUUGAAAUGUUUGUGAUGAUGCAAUCUCCCCGCGGAAAGACGGAAAGACCCCAUGAACCUUUACUGUAGCUUUGUAUUGGACUUUGAACAGAUCUGUGUAGGAUAGGUGGUAGGCUUUGAAGUGUGGUCGCUAGAUCGCAUGGAGCCAACGUUGAAAUACCACCCUGGUGUGUUUGAGGUUCUAACCUAGGUCCAUUAUCUGGAUCGGGGACAGUGCAUGGUAGGCAGUUUGACUGGGGCGGUCUCCUCCCAAAGUGUAACGGAGGAGUUCGAAGGUACGCUAGGUACGGUCGGACAUCGUGCUAAUAGUGCAAUGGCAUAAGCGUGCUUAACUGCGAGACUGACAAGUCGAGCAGAUGCGAAAGCAGGACAUAGUGAUCCGGUGGUUCUGUAUGGAAGGGCCAUCGCUCAACGGAUAAAAGGUACUCUGGGGAUAACAGGCUGAUACCGCCCAAGAGUUCAUAUCGACGGCGGUGUUUGGCACCUCGAUGUCGGCUCAUCUCAUCCUGGGGCUGUAGCCGGUCCCAAGGGUAUGGCUGUUCGCCAUUUAAAGAGGUACGUGAGGUGGGUUUAAAACGUCUUGAGACGGUUUGGUCCCUAUCUUCCGUGGGCGCUGCAGAUUUGAGGAAGCCUGCUCCUAGUACGAGAGGACCGGAGUGGACGAACCUCUGGUGUAUCGGUUGUCACGCCAGUGGCAUUGCCGAGUAGCUAAGUUCGGAAGAGAUAACCGCUGAAAGCAUCUAAGCGGGAAACUCGUUUCAAGAUUAGAUCUGCCGGGGCCUUGAGCCCCCUAAAGAGUCGUUCAAGACCAGGACGUUGAUAGGUCAGGUGUGGAAGC